GGGAGCUCUGUAGCAUUUCUCAUAUUAUAUGUGGAUGACAUACUAUUGAUGGGAAAUGAUAUAGAAUUCUUGGAAAGUAUAAAGGCCUAUUUGAAUAAGUGUUUUUCAAUGAAGGACCUUGGAGAAGCUGCUUAUAUAUUAGGCAUCAAGAUUUAUAGAGAUAGAUCAAGACGCCUCAUUGGUCUUUCACAGAGUACAUACCUUGACAAGAUAUUGAAGAAGUUCAAUAUGGAUCAGUCCAAGAAGGGGUUCUUGCCUGUAUUGCAAGGUGUGCAAUUGAGCACGGCUCAAUGCCCGACCACGGCAGAAGAUAGA
This 315-nucleotide ribosomal RNA is filed under the name Triticum aestivum (bread wheat). RNAcentral describes it as "partial small subunit ribosomal RNA". The record is from RNAcentral. Lineage: Eukaryota; Viridiplantae; Streptophyta; Magnoliopsida; Poales; Poaceae.